AAUGGCGUCUGUGUCAGCACGCCCACACCAGGCCACAACAAUGGCCGCCGCCAAUGUCCCAGUCCCUGGUGAGGUCUCAUCCCUCACCGAGAUGCACUCAGGGCCUAUUAGAUUGCUGUGCCGGAGGGAAGAGAACCUGGCGAACGUGCACUGGCUCUAAAAGCUCUACCCAGAAUGGAUAUGUGUCAUCUGUUCACACUUUAUUGACUAAAGCCCCAUGAGUCUUUCGCUUGACCUAGUUGCAGGUACCAUGAUCCUCUCAGGUUUUGAUGGGAAAUCCAAACGUUUAAUCUAUUUUUCUGCAAAGAUUUUGACUAAAUGAAAGUCUUUUUUCCCAUGUGUUACUAUAAACAAUUCAGAGCUUUAAUAAUGAGUUUAGUGGUCAUGCCAUUGAUUUGAUGCUUGCCAAGAGUCUGAGUUUUAGUUGGCCUUUUUAAUGCAAAGCAUUUCUCCAUUUUAUUUUUUGUUUUUUAGAAUUGAGAAACAGUUCUACUGCCAAACCAGCAAGUCCCUGAAUUUGUAGACUCUUUCUAUUUCUUUUAAAAUCUGUUUUUUUGUGCUCACUUUUUUCUUCUGAUAUCCUGCCAAAUACAGUCAAUAACGACCACCACGUACCACUAAUGUUCUAUUUUCCUACCACUUCUCCCUGGACUACAAAUUCAUGAGGUACACGAGUUGCCUUCCAAGCAAAGGUGGAAAUGUUACCAAAUGUUUUGACGCUACAUAAUGUGGACCAUCCUUUUAGGCUCCUACAUCAGUUGUCUCACUACUUGUUACCUAGACCAAUAUCAAUACCACAUGUUUUAGCUCUGUGGUCAUAGCAGCAUCCAGUAUCAAUCAGGAUAGGUUACAUUGAUGACGAUUUCCAUUUGCCUCAUUAGAUCUAUAUGCUUCUCUACACUAUUUUGUGUCCUGGGGUGGGAGUGGGGUGCUUGAUGUUAAUAUCUGCAUCAAUGAAUUCCUUUGUCUUCCAGCUUCCAAGAGUGUUCUCCAAUAGAAGUCAUUGGAAGGAAAUCAGGGAGUGAAAGGAAAGCAGGGACAGGGUACUCAUUCUCCGGGAUUCUUCCCCUUCAGGUCACUACUGUUUGGCUGGAUUCCUCUACUGAAGAUAAUAGCUAUCAUCAAGCCCUCUCAACACAACUAUACUCUCCAGGAGACCUAUCCCACAGGUGUGGGCAGGGCGCUCUGUUCCCUUUAGUCACUCAGCGCCACAAGCUUGAGUUUAGCUCGUGCUUCUGUGACCAGCAGAGCUGGAGGAAGAGCAUACGGCGACUUAUGCACAGGCCCUUCUACUUCUGCCUGGAUGGGACACCUGCCAUUUUUGCUUACAGUUCUAACCUCAAAGGAGUAAAAGUACCACCCUAACACACCAUCAAAAGGGUGAAAACUGGAAGAACUUAAUGAUUACUUUACAAAUAGUUCAAAAGUGAUUUUUGAAGCAUACAGCUAUGAUGAAAUUAAAGCAAACAUUAAAACUCAUGUUAACUUCAUACAUGUACAUAGUAAGAAUGCUAACAGUGCAUAUAUAGAGUAUGAUUCUGUUUGUACUCAAGCAAGUAAAUCUGUUAGUUGUAACGAUGCUGCACAAUUAGCCAAAAAGGAAAAUGUAUGCUCACAAAUAAAGAACUGAAAAUUGACUUGUAUUCUGGCCAGUUUAUGAGCCUUCCAGCUGUGCUCAGCUCCACUCCAACCCUGGGCCAGGGAGUUGGCCAUGUGAAACCCUUCCCACUUAGAGUAGCCCUACUGGUGGCUGUCACUCUUCCCAUGGGCUAAAAGCCAAGCUCUAUUACCACUGCAUUUGCCUCAUCCUCUAACAUUUCAAAUGACCUUGCCACCUCAAGAGAGAGAGAGGGGCUUCAGCAAGAAUUCUAUUGUACCUUCAUGGUACCAGAGGAGCGGCUCCAGCUCAUCAGUGUGAUUCAACAGGACUCAUGAAAGUGCCGGGUUCCCCAGUAGCGACCCACAAGGGGCAAUUAGCAAAAUGCAGAGGAGUGGAAGAGGAAAUAUCACGUGAAAUGACUUUUGACCAAAGAAAAACAAAAGACUGGAAAAAGCACACUGAACGAUUGCUUUCCCUUCCUCUCCUGACAGUUUUGAGAUGGUGGCGUCCCAUAGCCCCUCUGCAGAUAUCCCAGCAGCCGACUGGACGUCCUGUGAAGCUGGGACAGUUCGGUAACCUAGGACCUUAGACUCGCUUGCCGUCUUCACCUCUCUCGUCCCUUCACCCUGGCUCUUGUUGCCCUGUUUGUGUACCGUGCACUGCCGCUCUCCAUGCGGUGGUGACACAUAAGCUUUGCCUCAGGAGGUAUUUGCUAAGGACUGAGGCUUGGAAUACUGGUACCAAGGAUGGUCAUGGAGAGAAGACCUUCAGGAGGAAAUUUGGAGCUGGAUUUCCUACCUGUAGGAAAACAAUAAAGACCAAGUUGUUUGGCGUGGUGAAUAAGGUGAUAAAAAUCCCUGGAACUCAAUAGUAGUACUGUUAUUAAAAACUUUAACAGUAAUUAGUAGAAUUUAGGUAUAUUUAGUUUUUUUGCUCAUCAUUUUAAUUUCAAUCUCCUCUUGACCUUUAUGACACUUUUGCCCCGUAGAGUUUCUUUUUUUUUCUCCACCACUUAUAUUUUCAUGUAUGUCUAUGAUAAUCCUUGCUCAGAUUGUUGUUUAAUGACAGACAUAUACUCUUUAUUAAAAGCCGGGAAAUGUUGAAAUGUUGGGAUAUUUAUAGAUAAGGCCCCAUUCAAUCACAUUCCCAGAGAGAAUGUCAGUUGUUAACAGACUCAUUCCAAAAAAGAAAUCUACUGAAUUUUAUUUUAAAUUAGUCAUUAUCUUUAUGCUGGUUUUGCAGCUGCCAUUUGAAUUUUCUGACCCAAAUCUGUCUGGUUUACUUCAUCUAGACAGACAGGUAAGCAUACUAAUCCAGGUUUUCGAAACAGGAUACUUCUCAUGCCAAGCUCUGAGUCAGGUCAAACUCACUUGGAAGUCAAAGAAAAAGGAAGAGUGUUCUAGGUAGCAACUGGUGUUAACAGAAACUCUGACUUAAAACGGCCCAAACAAGUAGAGUUUAUUUAUCUCACAUAAGUCUGGAGCUAGGCAGUUAUUGGUGUUGGGUUACCUACCCAGGCCCUUUUAUCUGCCUGUUUUGUCAUCCUUACAUGUUGGCUUGGGUCCAUGUGUGUAUUAGUUUGUUAGGGCUGCCAUGACAAAGUACCACAGACUGAGUGGAUUAAACAACAGAAAUUUUUUUUCUCACAGUGCUGGAAGCUAGAAGUCUGGGAUCAAGAUGUCAGCACAGAGUUGGUUUCAUUUUGAGGCCUCUCUCCUUGGCUUGUAGAUGGUCCUUUUCUCCUGUGUCUUCAUAUGGUCUUCCCUCUGUGCAUGUGUGUGUGUCCCAGUCUCCUCUUCUUAUAAUGAUACCAGUCAUAUUGGAUUGGGGCCUACCCCAAUGACUUCAUUUUAACUUAAUUAUCUCUGUAAAGAUUCUGUCUCCAUCACGGUUACAUUCUGAGGUACUGGAGGUUAGGACAUCAACAUAUGAAUUUUGGUGGGGAGACACAAUUCAGCCCAUACCACUGUGGUUAUCAAUUUGUGGUCAUAAGAUGAUUGCCACAGCUCUACAACUCCUAUUUACUAUAAACAAACCAACAAACAGAAAGAAAAGAGAAGGGACUGGACCUGUUAUCUUUAUCCCCUUUUUAAUAAUUUUAUUUAUUUAACUUUUUUCCCCCAAAGCCCCAGUAGAUAGCUGUAUGUCAUAGUUGCACAUCCUUCUAGUUGCUGUAUGUGGGACGCAGCCUCAGCAUGGCCGGAGAAGCGGUG
Molecule: long non-coding RNA, 3813 nt
Organism: Diceros bicornis minor
Lineage: Eukaryota; Metazoa; Chordata; Mammalia; Perissodactyla; Rhinocerotidae
Exons: 3
Source: RefSeq, a predicted model, not a curated record